UGGGUAGGCAGCAGUAGGGAAUCUUCCGCAAUGGGCGAAAGCUGACGGAGCAACGCCGCGUGAGUNAUGAAGGUCUUCGGAUCGUAAAGCUCUGUUAUUAGGGAAGAACAAAUGUGUAAGUAACUAUGCACGUCUUGACGGUACCUAAUCAGAAAGCCACGGCUAACUACGUGCCAGCAGCCGCGGUAAUACGUAGGUGGCAAGCGUUAUCCGGAAUUAUUGGGCGUAAAGCGCGCGUAGGCGGUUUCUUAAGUCUGAUGUNAAAGCCCACGGCUCAACCGUGGAGGGUCAUUGGAAACUGGGAGACUUGAGUGCAGGAGAGGAAAGUGGAAUUCCAUGUGUAGCGGUGAAAUGCGCAGAGAUAUGGAGGAACACCAGUGGCGAAGGCGACUUUCUGGUCUGCAACUGACGCUGAUGUGCNAAAGCGUGGGGAUCAAACAGGAUUAGAUACCCUGGUAGUCCACGCUGUAAACGAUGAGUGCUAAGUGUUAGGGGGUUUCCGCCCCUUAGUGCUGCAGCUAACG
RNAcentral lists this ribosomal RNA (524 nucleotides) under uncultured eubacterium ZI-2. RNAcentral's name for it is "bacterial SSU rRNA". It matches the Rfam family "Bacterial small subunit ribosomal RNA", at positions 341 to 857 of the family's 1533-position model. The record is from RNAcentral.